This 495-nucleotide ribosomal RNA is filed under the name uncultured bacterium. RNAcentral's name for it is "partial 16S ribosomal RNA". It matches the Rfam family "Bacterial small subunit ribosomal RNA", at positions 28 to 507 of the family's 1533-position model. The record is from RNAcentral.
GACGAACGCUGGCGGCGUGCCCAAUACAUGCAAGUAGAACGCUGAAGGAGGAGCUUGCUCUUCUGGAUGAGUUGCGAACGGGUGAGUAACGCGUAGGUAACCUGCCUGGUAGCGGGGGAUAACUAUUGGAAACGAUAGCUAAUACCGCAUAAGAGUAGAUGUUGCAUGACAUUUACUUAAAAGGUGCAAUUGCAUCACUACCAGAUGGACCUGCGUUGUAUUAGCUAGUUGGUGGGGUAACGGCUUACCAAGGCGACGAUACAUAGCCGACCUGAGAGGGUGAUCGGCCACACUGGGACUGAGACACGGCCCAGACUCCUACGGGAGGCAGCGGUAGGGAAUCUUCGGCAAUGGACGGAAGUCUGACCGAGCAACGCCGCGUGAGUGAAGAAGGUUUUCGGAUCGUAAAGCUCUGUUGUAAGAGAAGAACGAGUGUGAGAGUGGAAAGUUCACACUGUGACGGUAUCUUACCAGAAAGGGACGGCUAACUACGUG